AUGCACACUUUGCAGGAAACAGAAAAAUCAACGCACUUUCCACUCAUCUUCAUCUCAUCGUUCUCCUCCUCCUACAGUAGUAAUAGUAGUUGGUGGUGGUCAUGGUGGUGUUGUUGAGGGUGAUGCUUCAAAGCUGUGGACCUUGAUGCUUCCCCAUCACCGAACUCAACCCAUCUGGCUCUUUCAGCAUAUCUGUGGCUGCAGCAAAGCACUGACUCACUGACUCGCUUACUUAUUCAAUGCCAAGCAUGUGUUUGUUUUGUGGCGAUG
RNAcentral lists this long non-coding RNA (270 nucleotides) under Physcomitrium patens. Its description in RNAcentral is "long non-coding RNA (PPAT_LNC000708)". Lineage: Eukaryota; Viridiplantae; Streptophyta; Bryopsida; Funariales; Funariaceae. The record is from RNAcentral.